UGUUAAAAAAUUCAUCCAUUUAUAUUGUUAGAAAUUAGCAUGGCUAACGAAAUAAUCAUAUAGUAACACGUAGCGUGCCAUGUACCUCAUAUUGACGUACAGGUACCAGAUUUUAACAAUAGAAUUGAUGGAAUUUUUAAUG
Gossypium hirsutum (cotton) is the source of this 142-nucleotide non-coding RNA. The record is from Rfam. Lineage: Eukaryota; Viridiplantae; Streptophyta; Magnoliopsida; Malvales; Malvaceae.